This 1169-nucleotide long non-coding RNA is filed under the name Zonotrichia albicollis (white-throated sparrow). RNAcentral describes it as "lncRNA (ENSZALG00000004095.1)". The record is from RNAcentral. Lineage: Eukaryota; Metazoa; Chordata; Aves; Passeriformes; Passerellidae.
AUGACACCAAUCAGAGUGAAGAAAAGAUGAGAAAUACUUUAGAUUCUCUGUCUGAAACAAUUGCUCAGUGAGUCAAGACUCAAAUGUAAUGAGGAAGGAAGAAUUGCAAGAAGGAAAGAUUUACACAGACACAGUUAAGGAUAAAGCUGAGCAGAACUGCACGAUUUCGAUUCCCAGGAAUUUCUUCCAAACUGUAAUUUGACUUUGACUUUGUGAGAAGACAUACCUGCUGACUCUCACAUUUGAUGAAAGUCAAAGCAAAAGUACUAAACUUCAAGGUGCAUGAUGGCAAAACGAAGGGUCUGAAAUGUGACCUGAACAUCCUCUGUCUUUGGAGGAGGAAGGAGGAAAAAUUUUCCUACUUUUUGCUGAUCUCUGGAGUACUACACCCAGCUCCUCAGCUCUUGGCACUUACACUGCUGCCUGGCUGGCUUAACACAUUAGUGAUUCUCUUUUAUAGUCCUUUUUCAGAAUUGUGAGUGACUAAACAAGUCUCAGAGAAUCAUGUCCUAUAUCUUACUUGGAUAUUAAACAGUUGGAAAGAGUAGGGAGAAGAGAGCUGCUCUAACUAUGCAAGGACUGGAAAUACUGCCUUGCAGCUGCGUGUUAAAAAUGAAAUACCAGCUCUUUAAACAGAUUAAAGAUUAUUUGAUUACUGUGUGUAAACUCCUUCUAGAAGAGCUACUGAUAGAAGUGAAACCUGAAAUAAGAGAAACGAGCAGCACAACACCAGGGGCAGGCUGGUGCUGGUAAAGCUCUUGCUGUGAAAUUUGAAGUGGAUGUAAGUUUCUAGGAAUAUUUGCUGCAGAACAGAUGUGCACUUCUUUACCCUCCUAGUGCCAGUUCAGCAUGAAAUUCACCUGUGUUUACAUCAGAGUAAAACAAAGUACCCCUGGGAAAAAAGCUGCCAACCAAGCAUGUUUUUACAGAAUAGUGAUGAAAUGUUUUACCAGGAUGAAAACACUUUUGUUGCCAAGGAAGAGGUCAACAGUACCCAUCUUGAAACUUCCCACUUAUGAGUUUAUGGAAAUGGACAACUGGCCAGUGUUUGGAGAAAAUUUCAGAUGUAAGAGUCUUUCACUCUUUUUCAAAUAAUUUAUAUAUUAGGUCUUCUGCACUCCAGGUGUGCUGCUGAUGUCAGGGUCCUCCAGGGAGCUCUGCAGUCCUUG